GCUCCCGUAGUUUAAUGGAUAAAAUUUCAGAUUCCGGUUCUGACGUUAUGGGUUCGAAUCCCUUCGGGAGUA
Molecule: transfer RNA, 72 nt
Filed under: Bacteroidales bacterium
Lineage: Bacteria; Pseudomonadati; Bacteroidota; Bacteroidia; Bacteroidales
Description: tRNA-Arg
Rfam family: tRNA
About the family: Transfer RNA (tRNA) molecules are approximately 80 nucleotides in length. Their secondary structure includes four short double-helical elements and three loops (D, anti-codon, and T loops).
Source: RNAcentral